RNAcentral lists this ribosomal RNA (250 nucleotides) under uncultured bacterium. RNAcentral describes it as "partial 16S ribosomal RNA". It matches the Rfam family "Bacterial small subunit ribosomal RNA", at positions 524 to 773 of the family's 1533-position model. The record is from RNAcentral.
UACAGAGGGCGCGAGCGUUAAUCGGAAUUACUGGGCGUAAAGAGCGCGUAGGCGGUUAUGUAAGUCAGAUGUGAAAGACCUUGGCUUAACCAAGGAAUUGCAUUUGAUACUGCACAACUAGAGUAUGGUAGAGGAAAGUGGAAUUUCCGGUGUAGCGGUGAAAUGCGUAGAUACCGGAAGGAACACCAGUGACGAAGGCGACUUUCUGGACCAAUACUGACGCUGAGGCGCGAAAGCGUGGGGAGCAAAC